This 1494-nucleotide ribosomal RNA is filed under the name Cephus cinctus (wheat stem sawfly). RNAcentral's name for it is "SSU rRNA". It matches the Rfam family "Eukaryotic small subunit ribosomal RNA", at positions 686 to 1823 of the family's 1831-position model. Lineage: Eukaryota; Metazoa; Arthropoda; Insecta; Hymenoptera; Cephidae. The record is from RNAcentral.
UCUGUGUCCCACGCUGUCGGUUCAUCGCUCGCGGUGUUUAACUGGCAUGACUGUGGGACGUCCUACCGGUGGGCUUAGCUCCUCACGGGGGGCGGCCCAACUAAUAUCCCAUCGCGGUGCUCUUUACCGAGUGUCGAGGUGGGCCGGUACGUUUACUUUGAACAAAUUAGAGUGCUUAAAGCAGGCUACCUUCGCCUGAAUACUGCGUGCAUGGAAUAAUGGAAUAGGACCUCGGUUCUAUUUUGUUGGUUUUCGGAACCCCGAGGUAAUGAUUAAUAGGGACAGAUGGGGGCAUUCGUAUUGCGACGUUAGAGGUGAAAUUCUUGGAUCGUCGCAAGACGGACAGAAGCGAAAGCAUUUGCCAAAAAUGUUUUCAUUAAUCAAGAACGAAAGGGAUUGGGGCUUGCAAUUAUUCCCCAUGAACGAGGAAUUCCCAGUAAGCGUGAGUCAUAAGCUCGCGUUGAUUACGUCCCUGCCCUUUGUACCCCCCGCCCGUCGCUACUACCGAUUGAAUGAUUUAGUGAGGUCUUCGGACUGGUGCGCGGCAAUGUUUCGGCAUUGCCGAUGUUGCCUGGAAUAUGACGAACUUGAUCAUUUAGAGGAAGUAAAAGUCGUAACAUGGUUUCAGUAGGUAAACCUGCGGAAGGAUUAUUAAGAUACCGCCCUAGUUCUAACCAUAAACGAUGCCAGCUAGCGAUCCGCCGAAGUUCCUCCGAUGACUCGGCGGGCGGGCAGCUUCCGGGAAACCAAAGCUUUUGGGUUCCGGGGGGAGUAUGGUUGCAAAGCUGAAACUUAAAGGAAUUGACGGAAGGGCACCACCAGGAGUGGAGGCUGCGGCUUAAUUUGACUCAACACGGGAAACCUCACCAGGCCCGGACACCGGAAGGGUUGACAGAUUGAUAGCUCUUUCUUGAUUCGGUGGGUGGUGGUGCAUGGCCGUUCUUAGUUGGUGGAGCGAUUUGUCUGGUUAAUUCCGAUAACGAACGAGACUCUAGCCUGCUAAAUAGGCGUGAUUCAUGGUAUCUCGAAGGCCCUCGACUUCGGUCGAUCGGUUUUUACUACCGACGUACGAACAAAUCUUCUUAGAGGGACAGGCGGCUUCUAGCCGCACGAGAUUGAGCAAUAGCAGGUCUGUGAUGCCCUUAGAUGUUCUGGGCCGCACGCGCGCUAUACUGAAGGAAUCAGCGUGUCUUCCCUGGCCGAAAGGCCCGGGUAACCCGCUGAACCUCCUUCGUGCUAGGGAUUGGGGCUUGCAAUUAUUCCCCAUGAAGGAGGAAUUCCCAGUAAGCGCGAGUCAUAAGCUCGCGUUGAUUACGUCCCUGCCCUUUGUACACACCGCCCGUCGCUACUACCGGUUGAAUGAUUUAGUGAGGUCUUCGGACUGGUGCGCGGCAAUGUUUCGGCAUUGCCGAUGUUGCCGUGAAGAUGACCAAACUUGAUCAUUUAGAGGAAGUAAAAGUCGUAACAUGGUUUCAGUAGGUAAACCUGCGGAAG